CCUACCUUUACAUUCUCAAGAGAUAAAUGAGGAUAGGGAGAAUGAGAGUGAAGACAAGGCGUAAGUGGACUAGUGGACAAUGCUGUUUCAGCUGAUGGUGUUCUGGUCAUAAAUAACAAUGGAAGUUUAAAAAAAAAAAAAAAAAAGGCUACCGAUGGCAUGAGAGCAUUAUCACCCUUAGCCACUGUUGAUAUUGUUGGAAUUCUGAGAUUGAUGAACACUGAGGAGUUUCAUGCCCUUUCACACUCAAAUUGACUCGUAUUUGUCUUUCACAGAAUCUUUGGUCAGUUAUGGAACAGUUGUGCUAGGAAAAUUAGGAGCAAGCAAACGAAUGGUUGAUUGAGGGCAAUUCAAUGACGUGUAUUGGUAGUCUGUUACUUUACUAAAUCGAUUUGCUGAUGAUCCUCAGAAUUGCAACAAGUGGCAACUAGGAUAAUGAUUCAGAGUGUACAUAUAAAACAAAUCAUCGAGUUUUCUUAUGGAUCAGGGCUUGGUACAAUCUGCUGGCUUGAAGGAAAGAAGAUUCUUCUGAAGGUCAUACCCAACUUUUGAGACGGCAAUGCUUUCACCACUUCAAUAGGGUGAUCUUUAUUGUUUCCUUCCAAAGUGCCUCUUCAGUCUCCUCCAUGAGUAAAUUAUUCUUGUGAUGCUACUUCACUUUUACAGACCCUGAAGGGCAUGCAGAAUUGAAUGAGAAAAUAAAAAGGAGUGCUUUUGCAGAUCAUAUACACACGUUGAUCAGAUUCUUCGUUGAAUAUGCUUUACAACUUGUUGCAGGUUGGCAGUGGGCCAUAAACAGAUAUGCGAACUGAGCUGGCAUUCAAAGAAAGAUUGCGUAUUCCCUGAGGAUGUGGGGUUUCUCUGUAUACGCGUUUUGCAGCGAAUCAAAUUUGUCACGGUUAGUUUCAUCAACACAACUACUAUAUUGUUUGUUCUAACGUGCCGACAAGUUCAUGGGUUAAGUGGUUGUGUUCUUGUGUGUGUGUGUCUCUAUAUAUAUAUAUAUAUAUAUAGUUUUAGUGUCAUCCAUGUAUGUAUCUCUGUUGCUUUCUCUAUCUACAUUUCACAUGAGAUAAGAACAGAGCAUUAAAAAGGGGGCGGCAAAGGUGAAGUGGGGAGUUGGUGGGUCUCAUGUUCAGGUGAUAACUACAGUUUUAAGUUUUGAACUUGCUCGCCUACUUGCUGAAUCUCUAUUCUUUCGGUGAAGAUCUUCCAGAUUAAAUUAACAAUCCGGCGUGCAUUGAAAUGUAUUAUAUAUAAUAUUCCUCUAAUGAUUGAUCAUUGGAUAAUAUAAUUCGCAUUUUCUCCUCGUUGGUUUCCAUUGUCCAUGGAUUAUAUAGACCAGAUACACUGUACGUGUCCCAAAAAUUCUUCUCUGCUGAGCUAUUUGGAUGUUGAUUGUUGGAUAGAGGAAGCGUAAUUUUAUUCC
Long non-coding RNA from Neltuma alba, 1429 nucleotides. RefSeq lists it as uncharacterized. The record is from RefSeq and is a predicted model, not a curated record. The transcript has 4 exons. NCBI's taxonomy places the organism in Eukaryota, Viridiplantae, Streptophyta, Magnoliopsida, Fabales, Fabaceae.